This 402-nucleotide ribosomal RNA is filed under the name uncultured Rickettsiales bacterium. RNAcentral's name for it is "bacterial SSU rRNA". It matches the Rfam family "Bacterial small subunit ribosomal RNA", at positions 353 to 772 of the family's 1533-position model. The record is from RNAcentral. Lineage: Bacteria; Pseudomonadati; Pseudomonadota; Alphaproteobacteria; Rickettsiales.
AGUGGGGAAUAUUGGACAAUGGGGGCAACCCUGAUCCAGCCAUGCCGCGUGAGUGAUGAAGGCUUUAGGGUUGUAAAGCUCUUUCGCCGAUGAAGAUAAUGACGGUAGUCGGAGAAGAAGCCCCGGCUAACUUCGUGCCAGCAGCCGCGGUAAUACGAAGGGGGCUAGCGUUGUUCGGAAUUACUGGGCGUAAAGCGCGCGUAGGUUGCGCAGCAAGUCAGGGGUGAAAUCCCAGAGCUUAACUCUGGAACUGCCUUUGAAACUGCUGCGCUGGAAUCUCAGAGGGGAUAGCGGAAUUCCAAAUGUAGGGGUGAAAUCCGUAGAUAUUUGGAGGAACACCGGUGGCGAAGGCGGCUAUCUGGAUGAGUAUUGACACUGAGGCGCGAAAGCGUGGGGAUCAAA